ACAGGCUAGAUGGUAAAUGGGUCAGGGAGAGAGAAACAGGCUAGAUGGUAAAGGGGUCAGGGAGAGAGAAACAGGCUAGACGGUAAAGGGGUCAGGGAGAGAGAAACAGGCUAGACGGUAAAGGGGUCAGGGAGAGAGAAACAGGCUAGACGGUAAAGGGGUCAGGGAGAGAGAAACAGGCUAGACGGUAAAGGGGUCAGGGAGAGAGAAACAGGCUAGACGGUAAAGGGGUCAGGGAGAGAGAAACAGGCUAGACGGUAAAGGGGUCAGGGAGAGAGAAACAGGCUAGACGGUAAAGGGGUCAGGGAGAGAGAAACAGGCUAGACGGUAAAGGGGUCAGGGAGAGAGAAACAGGCUAGACGGUAAAGGGGUCAGGGAGAGAGAAACAGGCUAGACGGUAAAGGGGUCAGGUAGAGAGAAACAGAGAGAGUAUGUGUUUGUUUUUCAGAUGAUGUGAGAUCAGUACUCAGAAUUAAAUGUCAAUAAUGAAUAAGAAUCUAGUCGGGCAGAGCCUUUGUCCAGUGCCAGGUAUAAAUACAGGGCUCAGAUGAAUCAUCAACCUGCAUCGAGUAGCUAGCCCAUGCCCUGCCUGCCAUAUGUUCUGCUCUCUCCCUCACGGUGUCACAUACUAUAGUAUAGUCUACUUCUAUGUGCUGUAGGACUACUUUUUUCCACCAUGAAACAUCGUUUAAAUAUCCUCUAAUAGUUUCUGGACAGCCUCCUCCAUUUUCUUCUUCCUUAUUUGACGAUAAGGAAGCUAACAUCUGAUUUACUAGCUUGUAUAGUAGAUAUUUCCUAUUUCCUCUCAUCCAGCAGAAGCCUACAUACAGAACACUCUCUGCAACAUUGUGUGUGUAGGUGUGGGGUCCAGCUACAUUGUUCUAUUUCAUUCUGUAGGUUCUUCCCUCUCUGUGUCUAGGGGGUUGGAGGUCACGACCUCAGGCUGGGUAUAUUCAGGAAUGCGGACACAGAGGUUGUGUUUCGGCUCUGUUCACCGCUGUGAUUUCUUGAUUUUAUCAGCACA
Long non-coding RNA from Oncorhynchus keta (chum salmon), 1024 nucleotides. RefSeq lists it as uncharacterized. The transcript has 3 exons. Lineage: Eukaryota; Metazoa; Chordata; Actinopteri; Salmoniformes; Salmonidae. The record is from RefSeq and is a predicted model, not a curated record.